Molecule: non-coding RNA, 153 nt
Filed under: Lotharella globosa
Lineage: Eukaryota; Cercozoa; Chlorarachniophyceae
Source: RNAcentral
GGUUGCGACGGGUGCACUUGCAGUCGAAAUGCGCCAGGCUGCAUAAUAUCCUAGAAAAAUCAAACACGUCCAUCGUUCGGCAACGACAAGCGAACGAGCGAUCGAACCCGAAACUAUGAGCAUAAAAGGAAAAGACAAGCUCAAGUGCUGGAG